Molecule: ribosomal RNA, 460 nt
Filed under: uncultured bacterium
Lineage: Bacteria
Description: partial 16S ribosomal RNA
Rfam family: Bacterial small subunit ribosomal RNA
Source: RNAcentral
CCUACGGGUGGCAGCAGUGAGGAAUAUUGGUCAAUGGGCGCGAGCCUGAACCAGCCAAGUAGCGUGAAGGAAGACUGCCCUACGGGUUGUAAACUUCUUUUAUAAAGGAAUAAAGUGAGGCAUGCGUGCCUAUUUGUCUGUACUUUAUGAAUAAGGAUCGGCUAACUCCGUGCCAGCAGCCGCGGUAAUAUGGAGGAUCCGAGCGUUUGCCGGUUUUAUUGGGUUUAAAGGGAGCGUAGAUGGGUUGUUAAGUCAGUUGUGAAAGUUCGCGGCUCAACCGUAAAAUUGCAAUUGAUACUGGCCGUCGUGAGUACAGUUGAGGUAGGCGGAAUUCGUGGUGUAGCGGUGAAAUGCUUAGAUAUCACGAAGAACUCCGAUUGCGAAGGCAGCUUACUAAACUGCCACUGACAUUGAUGCUCGAAAGUGUGGGUAUCAAACAGGAUUAGAUACCCCGGUAGUC